Molecule: ribosomal RNA, 254 nt
Filed under: uncultured bacterium
Lineage: Bacteria
Description: partial 16S ribosomal RNA
Rfam family: Bacterial small subunit ribosomal RNA
Source: RNAcentral
UACGUAGGCAGCAAGCGUUGUUCGGAGUUACUGGGCGUAAAGGGUGUGUAGGCGGUUGUUUAAGUUUGGUGUGAAAUCUCCCGGCUCAACUGGGAGGGUGCGCCGAAUACUGAAUGACUUGGAGUACGGGAGAGGAAAGUGGAAUUCCUGGUGUAGCGGUGAAAUGCGUAGAUAUCAGGAGGAACACCGGUGGUGUAGACGGCUUUCUGGACCGUAACUGACGCUGAGACACGAAAGCGUGGGUAGCAAACAGG